GCCUAACAGUAAACAAGACGCCUACUCAGGCGUUCACUCCGGGUACAGGGCCUUAACUAAGCGCAAACUACUUUAACGGAGGGUCCUGAAGGGGUAAAAUGGGAACUGGGAUUGAUCUAUUUUUAGACUGGGAAAAUGGGAUUUGGGUUGCUGGGACUGGGAUUUGGCCACUGGGAAUGGGAAAUGAAGUCCUCAAAAAUGGGAAUGGGAUUGAGGUAAUGCGAGUCGACUCCCAAUUUUUCUACGUUUUAAGUAUUUUAAAAUACACUUUUGAACCGUUUUUGGUGUCUUUGGUCAUGAUUUUUGUUGUUAACUAUAUUAUUCACAGCACUACCUGCGAACAGGCAUACUCUGGCGCCCGGAAUUGCAAAUGCCAUUUCCGGGAUUCAAAUUUAAAAACUUUCCGUGCCUUCGGAACGAGUCCCCCCCCCCCCCAAUGUUUCAUAAAAUGUCCACCACUUGCACACACGGUGGCUUAAAAGGUCUUAAAACUGUUUAUUCUACCGAUAAAUAAAGGGUUUUUUAUUGACUUGGAUUUCAUUAACCCGGACUGGGAUUUCUAAUAAAAAUCCAACUGGGACUGGGAUUUUGCCAAAAUUUCAGGUGGGAAAUGGGAUUGGGACCCCGCCUUCAGGACCCUCUCAACGUAUGCUUAUAAACGGCAAUGAAGGUAUCUUUAAUGCAUGAUAUUUAGCAUAUUAAAGUUGGAAAAGUGGGAGAACUACAGUGUAACCACUUCACCAGGUGACUAAAAACAUAUGCAACGAUCAUAAUAUUUUACAAC
This is a non-coding RNA of Paramuricea clavata, 784 nucleotides long. The record is from the annotation of a GenBank genome assembly. NCBI's taxonomy places the organism in Eukaryota, Metazoa, Cnidaria, Anthozoa, Malacalcyonacea, Plexauridae.